This 106-nucleotide small nuclear RNA is filed under the name Meriones unguiculatus (Mongolian gerbil). The record is from RNAcentral. Lineage: Eukaryota; Metazoa; Chordata; Mammalia; Rodentia; Muridae.
GUGCUUGCUUUGGCAGCUCAUAUAUUGAAAUUGGAACAAGACAGAGAAGAUCAGAAUGAGCUCUAUCAAGGAUGACACACAAAUUUGUGAAGCAUCCCAUAUUUUU